Molecule: long non-coding RNA, 486 nt
Filed under: Struthio camelus australis
Lineage: Eukaryota; Metazoa; Chordata; Aves; Struthioniformes; Struthionidae
Description: lncRNA (ENSSCUG00000010054.1)
Source: RNAcentral
CAGGAAAAGCGUUUUGUUUUGUUUUGAUAACGUAUGCACUUUUUUCUUGGUUCUAGCCAUGUGAUCUAUCUGGACCUGACUCAGAAGAACCAAACUUCACAGAGGAGGAAACGGUCAGUGGUGAGGGUAAGGGUGACAACCAAGAUCAUCACCUCAACAUGCAAGAUUCUUUGUAGAAGAGGAACACUGCUGUAAAUCACCUUCCAGCUAAACAAAGUGCUGAUCAUUCUCUCGCUUUAAUCAACAUCACGUCCACAGUGCUCACGUGGGCAUUGGCAAGAAACAAACGAUCAGAGCAGCGUUGGAAGGGAUGUAAUCAGCAGCCUCUGAAGCAUAGUAAUGAAUUUUAAUCUGUUACAGAUUAACAGGUUUCUGUAAAACCACAGAAACUUGUUCUCUCCUCCAUCCUCUCUUUACCCAGAAAAGUUUUAAUGGGGGAGUUCUCAUUAACAUUCACAAAUAGAAGGAUUAUACACCUUUGCUGGA